RNAcentral lists this long non-coding RNA (911 nucleotides) under Scleropages formosus (Asian bonytongue). RNAcentral's name for it is "lncRNA (ENSSFOG00015028487.1)". Lineage: Eukaryota; Metazoa; Chordata; Actinopteri; Osteoglossiformes; Osteoglossidae. The record is from RNAcentral.
AUGCCAACCUUAAAAAGGGGAGCAGCUCCAAGAGCCGAGCGUCUUCAAGCACAUCUCCAUUCCCACCAGGACGACGGGUCACUGUCACGGUUCAGCAGCCGCAACUGUGACUCAAAAACACACCGCAGCAUCAUGACCGUGGAGGAGACGAACCGCGAACGGGCAUCCACCUGCUUUUCCACGACCGAAGAGUGCGGACGCCCAACGGCAGCACCGCGCAUCAGAUCUUUGUUCAGCCGCAAGCAAAGGUGCUUCGCUCAGCAGCGACCUGUUCCGGUCCGAGCUGCUGCGUGCGGAGGACGGGAAGGACGAGGAGGACGAAGAGGAUGCCGAGGAACACCGGAGGAUCGGGGGCCCAUCGGGGACAGGAAAGGGGCCCUCAGCAGGGGCCAAAUCCAACGUCUUCAGGCGGGAGCACAGCAGCUGAGAAGAAGUGAAUGGAAGCGCCAAUGUGGUGUCCUCCACUUGAAGAUGGACCUUCCACCAGUAGGACGCAAGAUGCGCUCAAUGAUGCAAUUCCACUUUCUGCCUUGGCUCCUGUACGGAAGCUUCCAGAACCCAUCAGCUCUUCUCAGGCGGGAGCGGAGACCCCAGUCCGAGGCUCGCUGCCAGGUCGUCGUGUGACAGCGCUGAGCCGCCGGCGCUCGUCCAGCAGGAUGCGGACUAAGAAGGAGACUGGCGGAGGAGCCGUGGCGGUUGGGCCUGCAGGCAAUGUUGGAGCAGGUGAGCCUCACGCCUCCACCACCGCAGGGGUCUCCUCCCUCGCUCACCUCUCCCCUCCCCUCCGUCUCCGUCUCCACGGGCGCGACGCGCGCGCGCUCGGAACCCCGUCCUGUUUGAAGUCUUGCUUUCGCUUGUGCGAAAAAGCUUCCCGGAGACACAGACCUAAAUAAAAAAAACGACAUGCCUCA